AACGAACGCUGGCGGCAGGCCUCAAACAUGCAAGUCUAGGGGGUGUAGCAAUACAUCACCGGCGGACGGGUGCGUAACACGUGGGAAUAUACCUUUCGGUACGGAAUAACUGCGGGAAACUGCAACUAAUACCGUAUACGUCCUAGCGGAGAAAGAUUUAUCGCCGAAGGAUUAGCCCGCGUUCGAUUAGCUUGUUGGUGAGGUAACGGCUCACCAAGGCGACGAUCGAUAGCUGUUCUGAGAGGAAGAUCAGCCACACUGGGACUGAGACACGGCCCAGACUCCUACGGGAGGCAGCAGUUGGGAAUCUUGGACAAUGGGGGAAACCCUGAUCCAGCCAUGCCGCGUGAGUGAUGAAGGCCUUCGGGUUGUAAAACUCUUUCGACGGGACGAUAAUGACGGUACCCGUAGAAGAAGCUCCGGCUAACUUCGUG
Molecule: ribosomal RNA, 434 nt
Filed under: uncultured bacterium
Lineage: Bacteria
Description: bacterial SSU rRNA
Rfam family: Bacterial small subunit ribosomal RNA
Source: RNAcentral